CCGGCACGGUGGAGUAACACGUAUCCAACCUGCCGUCUACUCUUGGCCAGCCUUCUGAAAGGAAGAUUAAUCCAGGAUGGCAUCAUGAGUUCACAUGUCCGCAUGAUUAAAGGUAUUUUCCGGUAGACGAUGGGGAUGCGUUCCAUUAGAUAGUAGGCGGGGUAACGGCCCACCUAGUCAACGAUGGAUAGGGGUUCUGAGAGGAAGGUCCCCCACAUUGGAACUGAGACACGGUCCAA
Molecule: ribosomal RNA, 239 nt
Filed under: uncultured bacterium
Lineage: Bacteria
Description: partial 16S ribosomal RNA
Rfam family: Bacterial small subunit ribosomal RNA
Source: RNAcentral